RNAcentral lists this long non-coding RNA (505 nucleotides) under Triticum aestivum (bread wheat). RNAcentral's name for it is "long non-coding RNA (TAES_LNC001370)". The record is from RNAcentral. Lineage: Eukaryota; Viridiplantae; Streptophyta; Magnoliopsida; Poales; Poaceae.
CUGAAGUUCAUCUCCCUACCACUCCGUUAGUACUUCUCUCACCCCAUAUGCCCUUGGCAGAUCACAUGUCUCUCUCAUCUUACUCACAACUGAUUGUUGUUGUUUUGCUGCAGAUUUUGUGUCAGAACAGAGAAUUGUUACAGCUGAGAUCAUAGACAAAUCUUAUGUUGCAACAACAGGUUUGGAGGUUGUGCUGAGAAUUAAAAUGUCAAGGUUCAAAAAAUAGAUGCUUCAAGUAUUUAAUCUCUUUCAAAUACUCUUAUCAUGUUCCUUUCAGUGGUUAGAGCCCACAACUAAGAUAUGUUUGCUUCACACUCAUGCUUGUAAUACGCCUAUAUGGUUCCUUAUUUCAUCAUGUCCACGUUUGUAAUUCUCUGGUGCAGCAGAGCUGACCGAUAGUAGAGGUUAACCUUCUUUUUAGCCAAAGCUUCCAGUAUUGUACUAAUUAUAUGUGCUCUUUGGUGCAGCGCUCACUCAACAUAUUGAUAUGUAAGUCAAUUUUAAC